This is a non-coding RNA of Equus caballus (horse), 199 nucleotides long. Lineage: Eukaryota; Metazoa; Chordata; Mammalia; Perissodactyla; Equidae. The record is from RefSeq and is a predicted model, not a curated record.
UCCUGGGCCCAGGCGGACCCAGAGCCAGCCGGCAUCUUGGAUGCCCUCCCGGACACUGUGAAGAAGAUUGCACACACCCUGGGGAACAAGGACCAGGGAGUCCCUGACAAGCUGAAAAAGAAGGACUCUGCUUCAGUCACCCGGAAAGUGGCGGCAAAUACAACCAAAAAUAUUCCAGUUAAAAUAGAUCUCAUUCCCG